This is a non-coding RNA of Homo sapiens (human), 297 nucleotides long. It matches the Rfam family "Metazoan signal recognition particle RNA". From Rfam's summary of the family: The signal recognition particle (SRP) is a universally conserved ribonucleoprotein. It is involved in the co-translational targeting of proteins to membranes. The record is from Rfam. Lineage: Eukaryota; Metazoa; Chordata; Mammalia; Primates; Hominidae.
GCUGGAUGCGGUGGCACGUGCCUGUAGUCCUAGCUACUUGGGAGGCUGAGGCAGGAGGAUCGCUUGAGUUCAGGAGUUCUGGGCUGCAGUGUGCUGUGCUGAUUGGAUGUCCACACUAAGUUUGACAUCAACAAGGUGACCUCCCAGGAGCGGGGGACCACCAGGUUGCCCAAGGAGGGGUGAACCAGCCCAGAUCCAAAAUGGAGCAGGUCAGAACUCCCAUGCUGAUCAGUGGGACUGCACCUGUGAAUAGCCACUGAACUCCAGCCUGGGCAACAUAGUGAGACCUCAUUUCUA